Gopherus evgoodei (Goodes thornscrub tortoise) is the source of this 488-nucleotide long non-coding RNA. RefSeq lists it as uncharacterized. The record is from RefSeq and is a predicted model, not a curated record. The transcript is spliced from 2 exons. NCBI's taxonomy places the organism in Eukaryota, Metazoa, Chordata, Testudines, Testudinidae.
AUCCUCAAAGGAAACCUGAACAACAACUUCAAAAGAUGAGCCUGAGAGUGUAAAUUGGUAUUUUGCUAGAUUCUAAAAAUAAUGGUCUUAAUAAAACACAGAAUUUUGGCUUAUUAAAAGAAUCUUUAACCCACUAGCUCUUUUUUGGGUUCUAUUUUUGUCUUUCAGGGAUGUUAAUGGUCCACUUUACCUUGAAUGGUAUAUGUGUUAACUACUUAUACUAAACAUUUUGUUCCACCUUGUAUUUAGGUGACAUUCUGAAGAAUGACCUGAAGAAGCUUGUGUCUUUCACCAACAGAAGUUGGUCCAAUAAGAGAGAUUACCUCACCCACCUUCUCUCAAGUAUUUAGAGACUUCCGGGGACUUGUGCUCCUAAAUCCCAUAGGUGCUUUUGAAAAUCUCCAGCCUUCUUUUGUCAAGGCCAGAGGACUAUCUCCACCUUGUGGCAGCUUUUCAGAACUGUCUGGUUUGCAAGCUUUAUAACUGAA